RNAcentral lists this ribosomal RNA (119 nucleotides) under Pteropus alecto (black flying fox). RNAcentral also lists the same sequence under 1 other name. The record is from RNAcentral. Lineage: Eukaryota; Metazoa; Chordata; Mammalia; Chiroptera; Pteropodidae.
GUCUACAGCCAUGCCACCCUGAACAAGCCCAAUCCCAUCUGAUCUCGGAAGCUAAGCAGGGUUGGGCCUGGUUAGUACUUGGAUGGGAGACCACCUAGGAAGACCAGGGGCUGUAGGUG